Molecule: long non-coding RNA, 345 nt
Filed under: Carica papaya (papaya)
Lineage: Eukaryota; Viridiplantae; Streptophyta; Magnoliopsida; Brassicales; Caricaceae
Description: long non-coding RNA (CPAP_LNC011092)
Source: RNAcentral
GAAAAAAGAUGGAGAAAAGGCAAAAAUCUAGCAAAAAAAUGCUCGCGGGAAGGGUUCCACCUACGCAGGCACCGUGCGCGGCCAACACAAGACACAUCCCGUCCCCCUAGGGAAUGAUGCCCAGUCUGUGUGCGCGUCCUAUCUCCCACAGACUGACACAGUCCACGCAUGUCCCAUUGCGUGCAAAUGGGCACGACUCCGUGCACCCUGUGCGCACAAUAGGCCAGCAUGCAUGGGCCUACGCGUAGCACCCUACGCAUUGUAGGACCUGUGCACGGUCGACUCAGGCAAUGUGUUACUGCCUCGGGCAGUGCGCAUCAUCCCCUUGGGCGCCACGCACUCCCU